Molecule: unclassified non-coding RNA, 257 nt
Filed under: Paraliobacillus sp. PM-2
Lineage: Bacteria; Bacillati; Bacillota; Bacilli; Caryophanales; Bacillaceae
Description: BsrG
Source: RNAcentral
CACAUGAGGGGUGGCGCACCAAGCAACCUUCUUUGGAUACUUCCAAGAAGGGAGGUGUCGCCUAUGGACAUAGCAAACGUUUUAACGCUGAUGAUUUCAUUCGGCAUGUUGAUUACGUUUAUCAUGUCCGAUAAAAACCAAAAAAAGUAACCCCUCGUGUGCUUGACAGGCUUUUGAGGGAUUACUUCUCUUGAUUGCGCCUAGCCCCUCUUGUCGGGGUUCGGUCUAUUGUAACCGUAGGCGUUGCACCGUCUACG